GAUGAACGCUGGCGGCGUGCCUAAUACAUGCAAGUCGAACGAACUUCCGUUAAUUGAUUAUGACGUACUUGUACUGAUUGAGAUUUUAACACGAAGUGAGUGGCGAACGGGUGAGUAACACGUGGGUAACCUGCCCAGAAGUAGGGGAUAACACCUGGAAACAGAUGCUAAUACCGUAUAACAGAGAAAACCGCAUGGUUUUCUUUUAAAAGAUGGCUCUGCUAUCACUUCUGGAUGGACCCGCGGCGUAUUAGCUAGUUGGUGAGGUAAAGGCUCACCAAGGCAGUGAUACGUAGCCGACCUGAGAGGGUAAUCGGCCACAUUGGGACUGAGACACGGCCCAGACUCCUACGGGAGGCAGCAGUAGGGAAUCUUCCACAAUGGACGCAAGUCUGAUGGAGCAACGCCGCGUGAGUGAAGAAGGGUUUCGGCUCGUAAAGCUCUGUUGUUAAAGAAGAACGUGGGUAAGAGUAACUGUUUACCCAGUGACGGUAUUUAACCAGAAAGCCACGGCUAACUACGUGCCAGCAGCCGCGGUAAUACGUAGGUGGCAAGCGUUGUCCGGAUUUAUUGGGCGUAAAGCGAGCGCAGGCGGUCUUUUAAGUCUAAUGUGAAAGCCUUCGGCUCAACCGAAGAAGUGCAUUGGAAACUGGGAGACUUGAGUGCAGAAGAGGACAGUGGAACUCCAUGUGUAGCGGUGAAAUGCGUAGAUAUAUGGAAGAACACCAGUGGCGAAGGCGGCUGUCUGGUCUGCAACUGACGCUGAGGCUCGAAAGCAUGGGUAGCGAACAGGAUUAGAUACCCUGGUAGUCCAUGCCGUAAACGAUGAUUACUAAGUGUUGGAGGGUUUCCGCCCUUCAGUGCUGCAGCUAACGCAUUAAGUAAUCCGCCUGGGGAGUACGACCGCAAGGUUGAAACUCAAAAGAAUUGACGGGGGCCCGCACAAGCGGUGGAGCAUGUGGUUUAAUUCGAAGCUACGCGAAGAACCUUACCAGGUCUUGACAUCUUCUGACAGUCU
RNAcentral lists this ribosomal RNA (1018 nucleotides) under Pediococcus pentosaceus. RNAcentral describes it as "bacterial SSU rRNA". It matches the Rfam family "Bacterial small subunit ribosomal RNA", at positions 28 to 1000 of the family's 1533-position model. Lineage: Bacteria; Bacillati; Bacillota; Bacilli; Lactobacillales; Lactobacillaceae. The record is from RNAcentral.